CCUACGGGGGGCUGCAGUCGAGAAUCUUCCUCAAUGGGCGAAAGCCUGAAGGAGCGACGCCGCGUGUAUGAAGAAGCCUUUCGGGGUGUAAAGUACUUUUAACUGUGACGAAACAAUGACGGUAGCAGUUGAAUAAGGGGCUGCUAACCUCGUGCCAGCAGCAGCGGUAAUACGAGGGCCCCAAGCGUUAUCCGGAUUUAUUGGGCGUAAAGCGUCCGUAGGUGGUUUAUCGCAUCUCCUGUUAAAUCUCGAGGCUCAACCUCGAGUCAGCGGGAGAGAUGGAUAAGCUAGAGACUGGAAGAGGUACACGGAAUUGCUGGUGUAGGGGUUAAAUCCAUUAAUAUCAGCAAGAACACCAAAUGCGAAGGCAGUGUACUAGGACAGUUCUGACACUCAGUGGACGAAAGCGUGGGGAGCGAAUGGGAUUAGAUACCCCUGUAGUC
RNAcentral lists this ribosomal RNA (443 nucleotides) under uncultured bacterium. Its description in RNAcentral is "bacterial SSU rRNA". It matches the Rfam family "Bacterial small subunit ribosomal RNA", at positions 338 to 795 of the family's 1533-position model. The record is from RNAcentral.